Molecule: long non-coding RNA, 226 nt
Organism: Impatiens glandulifera
Lineage: Eukaryota; Viridiplantae; Streptophyta; Magnoliopsida; Ericales; Balsaminaceae
Exons: 2
Source: RefSeq, a predicted model, not a curated record
AUUUGUGACAGGCAAUUGCCAGCUUGUGGAUUAUUUCAGUGAUUGGUAGUUGGUCAGAUCUUCUAACAUUAUUUUACAUAUGCUUUCUCUUGCUACAUAGUGUACCUAUUCUAUAUGAAAAACAUGAAGAUCGUGUAAACCCUCUUGCUGAGAAGGCAAUGAUUGAGCUCCAGAAGCAAUAUGCAGUUUUUGAUGCCAAGGUGCUAAGUAAAAUCCCCAAAGGUCC